Molecule: non-coding RNA, 148 nt
Organism: Triticum aestivum (bread wheat)
Lineage: Eukaryota; Viridiplantae; Streptophyta; Magnoliopsida; Poales; Poaceae
Source: Rfam
CUAGUACUCCCUCCGUCCGAAAAUACUUGUCAUCAAAAUGGAUAAAAAAAGAUGUAUCUAGAACUAAAAUACAUCUAGAUACAAGUUCUAGAUACAUCCCCUUUUAUUCAUUUUAAUGACAAGUAUUUCCGGACGGAGGGAGUAUAUG